AAAGUCGUAACAAGGUUUCCGUAGGUGAACCUGCGGAAGGAUCAUCAAUGAAUUUUCAAAAUUCAACUUGGCUUUGGUGACUUUUUUGGCCAUGUGCUGGAAGGUUGCCACUGCCUAUCAACCACCAGUCUCUGUCUUUGGCGAAAGUGUGUCUUUUGUAUAAUCAAGAGCUCUUUUUGCAAUUGACUUUGACUUUUUUGAGUUUGGCAGGUUCGCUUGUAGUUUAGGCUUUCGGGCCUUAUCCAACUUGCAACCUCCUUUCUCGCCAUUGUGGGCAAAAACAAAUUGAAAUUAAAAUACAACUUUUAACGAUGGAUCUCUUGGCUCCC
Molecule: unclassified non-coding RNA, 329 nt
Filed under: Basidiomycota sp.
Lineage: Eukaryota; Fungi; Basidiomycota
Description: partial contains small subunit ribosomal RNA, internal transcribed spacer 1, and 5.8S ribosomal RNA
Rfam family: Eukaryotic small subunit ribosomal RNA (bases 1-47)
Source: RNAcentral